CCUACGGGAGGCAGCAGUGGGGAAUAUUGCACAAUGGGGGAAACCCUGAUGCAGCGACGCCGCGUGAGUGAAGAAGUAAUUCGUUAUGUAAAGCUCUAUCAGCAGGGAAGAAAAUGACGGUACCUGAGUAAGAAGCCCCGGCUAACUACGUGCCAGCAGCCGCGGUAAUACGUAGGGGGCAAGCGUUAUCCGGAUUUACUGGGUGUAAAGGGAGCGUAGACGGCAGUGCAAGUCUGGAGUGAAAGGCGGGGGCUCAACCCCCGGACUGCUCUGGAAACUGUACGGCUGGAGUGCAGGAGAGGUAAGUGGAAUUCGUGGUGUAGCGGUGAAAUGCGUAGAUAUUAGGAGGAACACCGGUGGCGAAGGCAGCAUACGGGACUGUAACUGACGUUGAGGCUCGAAGGCGUGGGGAGCGAACAGGAUUAGAUACCCCAGUAGUC
This 440-nucleotide ribosomal RNA is filed under the name uncultured bacterium. RNAcentral's name for it is "partial 16S ribosomal RNA". It matches the Rfam family "Bacterial small subunit ribosomal RNA", at positions 338 to 795 of the family's 1533-position model. The record is from RNAcentral.